UACGGAGGAUCCGAGCGUUAUCCGGAUUUAUUGGGUUUAAAGGGUGCGCAGGCGGAUAAAUAAGUCAGUGGUGAAAUCCUACGGCUCAACUGUAGAACUGCCAUUGAUACUGUUUAUCUUGAGUAUAGUUGGAGUGGGCGGAAUGUGUCAUGUAGCGGUGAAAUGCUUAGAUAUGACACAGAACACCGAUCGCGAAGGCAGCUUACCAAGCAAUAACUGACGCUCAUGCACGAAAGCGUGGGGAUCAAACAGG
This 253-nucleotide ribosomal RNA is filed under the name uncultured bacterium. Its description in RNAcentral is "partial 16S ribosomal RNA". It matches the Rfam family "Bacterial small subunit ribosomal RNA", at positions 524 to 776 of the family's 1533-position model. The record is from RNAcentral.